RNAcentral lists this ribosomal RNA (492 nucleotides) under uncultured bacterium. Its description in RNAcentral is "partial 16S ribosomal RNA". It matches the Rfam family "Bacterial small subunit ribosomal RNA", at positions 29 to 507 of the family's 1533-position model. The record is from RNAcentral.
AGUGAACGCUGGCGGUAGGCCUAACACAUGCAAGUCGAACGGCAGCACAGUAAGAGCUUGCUCUUACGGGUGGCGAGUGGCGGACGGGUGAGGAAUACAUCGGAAUCUACUUUUUCGUGGGGGAUAACGUAGGGAAACUUACGCUAAUACCGCAUACGACCUACGGGUGAAAGCAGGGGAUCUUCGGACCUUGCGCGAUUGAAUGAGCCGAUGUCGGAUUAGCUAGUUGGCGGGGUAAAGGCCCACCAAGGCGACGAUCCGUAGCUGGGCUGAGAGGAUGGUCAGCCACACUGGAACUGAGACACGGUCCAGACUCCUACGGGAGGCAGCAGUGGGGAAUAUUGGACAAUGGGCGCAAGCCUGAUCCAGCCAUACCGCGUGGGUGAAGAAGGCCUUCGGGUUGUAAAGCCCUUUUGUUGGGAAAGAAAAGCAGCAGGUUAAUACCCCGCUGUUCUGACGGUACCCAAAGAAUAAGCACCGGCUAACUUCGUG